UCGGGGACCGUGUCUGGUGGGUAGUUUGACUGGGGCGGUCUCCUCCUAAAGAGUAACGGAGGAGCACGAAGGUUGGCUAAGCAUGGUCGGACAUCAUGCGGUUAGUGCAAAGGCAUAAGCCAGCUUGACUGUGAGAGUGACGGCUCGAGCAGGUACGAAAGUAGGUCUUAGUGAUCCGGUGGUUCUGAAUGGAAGGGCCAUCGCUCAACGGAUAAAAGGUACUCCGGGGAUAACAGGCUGAUACCGCCCAAGAGUUCAUAUCGACGGCGGUGUUUGGCACCUCGAUGUCGGCUCAUCACAUCCUGGGGCUGAAGUAGGUCCCAAGGGUAUGGCUGUUCGCCAUUUAAAGUGGUACGCGAGCUGGGUUUAGAACGUCGUGAGACAGUUCGGUCCCUAUCUGCCGUGGGCGUUGGAAGAUUGAGAGGGGUUGCUCCUAGUACGAGAGGACCGGAGUGAACGCACCACUGGUGUUCGGGUUGUCAUGCCAAUGGCAUUGCCCGGUAGCUAAGUGCGGAAGAGAUAACCGCUGAAAGCAUCUAAGCGGGAAACUUGCCUCGAGAUGAGUCUUCCCUGUCACCUAGAGUGACCUAAAGGAACGUUUAAGACUAAGACGUUGAUAGGCUGGGUGUGUAAGCGUAGCGAUACGUUGAGCUAACCAGUACUAAUGAACCGUGAGGCUUAACCUG
RNAcentral lists this ribosomal RNA (686 nucleotides) under Proteus mirabilis. RNAcentral describes it as "partial 23S ribosomal RNA". It matches the Rfam family "Bacterial large subunit ribosomal RNA", at positions 2245 to 2925 of the family's 2925-position model. RNAcentral also lists the same sequence under 2 other names. The record is from RNAcentral. Lineage: Bacteria; Pseudomonadati; Pseudomonadota; Gammaproteobacteria; Enterobacterales; Morganellaceae.